This 482-nucleotide ribosomal RNA is filed under the name Gonioctena springlovae. RNAcentral's name for it is "partial 16S rRNA". It matches the Rfam family "Bacterial large subunit ribosomal RNA", at positions 1854 to 2597 of the family's 2925-position model. The record is from RNAcentral. Lineage: Eukaryota; Metazoa; Arthropoda; Insecta; Coleoptera; Chrysomelidae.
CGGCCUGCCCACUGAAAUAUUUAAAUGGCCGUGGUAUUUUGACCGUGCUAAGGUAGCAUAAUCAUUAGUUUUUUAAUUAAAAGCUGGAAUGAAGGGUUAGAUAAAAAAAUAACUGUCUCUAUUUAAUUUUAUUAGAAUUUUAUUUUUAAGUUAAAAAGCUUAAAUUAUAUUAAAAGACGAGAAGACCCUAUAGAGUUUUAUUAUAAUUUUUAUUUUUUAUUUUGGAAUUUAUUUAUUAAGUUAAAUUUAUAAUUUAAUUGGGGCGAUUGAAAAAUAUAUUGAACUUUUUUUGUAAUAUAACAUUAAUUUAUGAAUUAUUGAUCCAAUUUUUUUGAUUAUAAGAUAAAAUUACCUUAGGGAUAACAGCGUAAUUUUUUUAGAAAGUUCAUAUUGAAAAAAAAGAUUGCGACCUCGAUGUUGGAUUAAAAUAAAUUUUUGGUGUAGAAGCUAAAAUAUUAGGUCUGUUCGACCUUUAAAAUUUC